AUUGAACGCUGGCGGCAGGCCUAACACAUGCAAGUCGAACGAGUGGCGGACGGGUGAGUAAUGUCUGGGAAACUGCCUGAUGGAGGGGGAUAACUACUGGAACCGGUAGCUAAUACCGCAUACCAUCGGAUGUGCCCAGAUGGGAUUGGCUGGUUGGUGGGGUAACGGUUCACCAAGGCGACGAUCCCUAGCGGGUCUGAGAGGAUGACAAGCCACACUGGAACUGAGACACGGUCCAGACUCCUACGGGAGGCAGCAGUGGGGAAUAUUGCACAAUGGGCGCAAGCCUGAUGCAGCCAUGCCGCGUGUAGGAAGAAGGCCUUCGGGUUGUAAAGUACUUUCAGCGGGGAUGCGUUACCCGCAGAAGAAGCACCGGCUAACUCCGUGCCAGCAGCCGCGGUAAUUC
RNAcentral lists this ribosomal RNA (406 nucleotides) under uncultured bacterium. Its description in RNAcentral is "partial 16S ribosomal RNA". It matches the Rfam family "Bacterial small subunit ribosomal RNA", at positions 30 to 526 of the family's 1533-position model. The record is from RNAcentral.